GUUAGGAAUAUUGGACAAUGGGCGCAAGCCUGAUCCAGCCAUGCCGCGUGAACGAUGAAGGCCUUCGGGUUGUAAAGUUCUUUAGCCGAUGAUUAUAAUGACUGUAGUCGGAAAAUAAGCCCCGGCUAACUUCGUGCCAGCAGCCGCGGUAAUACGAAGGGGGCGAGCGUUAUUCGGAAUCACUGGGCGUAAAGCGUGCGUAGGCGGUCUCGUAAGUUAGGAGUGAAAGCCCAGGGCUCAACCUUGGAAUUGCUAUUAAUACUGCAAGUCUAGAAUCUCGGAGAGGAUAGCAGAAUUUCCAGUGUAGCAGUGAAAUGCGUAGAUAUUGGAAGGAACACCAGUGGCGUAAGCGGCUAUCUGGACGAGUAUUGACGCUGAGGCACGAAAGCGUGGGGAUCAAACAGGAUUAGAAACCCGUGUAGUCC
This 425-nucleotide ribosomal RNA is filed under the name uncultured bacterium. RNAcentral's name for it is "partial 16S ribosomal RNA". It matches the Rfam family "Bacterial small subunit ribosomal RNA", at positions 354 to 796 of the family's 1533-position model. The record is from RNAcentral.